This is a non-coding RNA of Danionella cerebrum, 73 nucleotides long. The record is from the annotation of a GenBank genome assembly. NCBI's taxonomy places the organism in Eukaryota, Metazoa, Chordata, Actinopteri, Cypriniformes, Danionidae.
UCUUCUUUGGCUCAGUCGGUAGAGCACUAUGCCAGCCAAGCACAGAUCAUGGGUUCAAACCCCAGGUAAAGAA